RNAcentral lists this ribosomal RNA (207 nucleotides) under uncultured bacterium. RNAcentral describes it as "partial 16S ribosomal RNA". It matches the Rfam family "Bacterial small subunit ribosomal RNA", at positions 568 to 774 of the family's 1533-position model. The record is from RNAcentral.
CGCGUAGGCGGCCGUUUAAGUCAGAUGUGAAAGCCCGGGGCUCAACCCCGGAAGUGCAUUUGAUACUAUUCGGCUUGAGUAUGGGAGAGGGAAGUGGAAUUCCUGGUGUAGAGGUGAAAUUCGUAGAUAUCAGGAGGAACACCGGUGGCGAAGGCGACUUCCUGGACCAAUACUGACGCUGAGGCGCGAAGGCGUGGGGAGCAAACA